CCCUUAGAUGUUCUGGGCGGCCCGCGCACUACAUUGGCACUCUCAAUAAGUUCCUAGAUCUAAAACUUUGGGGUAUUCUAUUAAGUGGUGUCGUGACUGGGAUUAACCCUUGCAAUUAUUGGUUACGAACGAGGAAUUCCUUGUAAUCGCGGUUUAUCAGCCCGCGUUGAAUGCGUCCCUGCCCUUUGUACACACCGCCCGUCGCUCCUACCGAUGAAUCGUCCGGUGAAGUUCAUGGAGUGGUGGUUGUUCCAGUUGCUGUCGAAGUGAAAUGGACCUCACGAUUUAGAGGAAGGAGAAGUCGUAACA
This 309-nucleotide ribosomal RNA is filed under the name uncultured eukaryote. RNAcentral describes it as "partial 18S ribosomal RNA". It matches the Rfam family "Eukaryotic small subunit ribosomal RNA", at positions 1470 to 1796 of the family's 1831-position model. The record is from RNAcentral.